GUUUAACAUGGAUCAGUCGUUUAAUUUUAGAAUUGGGUUCAACUAGGUUAGAAAAAAUAUUCUACCGUGCAUAAACUAGAACAAACCCUAAUGUGUGUGGUUCAGAUUUUUUUUUUAAGGAAGAGGGAGAGAGGAAGAGGAAGAGAAAGAAAGAGAGAGAUUCUAAAGGUGAGAACUUUAAGAAAGUUCUAGACCUAAAGAAGAU
This 205-nucleotide long non-coding RNA is filed under the name Elaeis guineensis (African oil palm). Its description in RNAcentral is "long non-coding RNA (EGUI_LNC002444)". The record is from RNAcentral. Lineage: Eukaryota; Viridiplantae; Streptophyta; Magnoliopsida; Arecales; Arecaceae.